UGUGUGUGUGUGUGUGUGUGUGUGUGUGUGUGUGUGUUUGUUUUUAUUACAUGGUGGGGGCCGCAACACGUUAGCACACUCACAGUGUGGGGACCGAAAACAUUGUGGGGACCAGUUUGCCGGUCCCCACAAUGUUUUCAGCCAAAAUGCGCCAGUUGACUCAGGAGACCAUGCUGAUAUGGGUGGUGCGGUUUUUUUUUUGGACCCCACCAUACGCAAAAACAUGAGAAGUGUGUAAAAGCGUGCUUACACACAUGCUCACCGAUGCCCCCGGAGGUAUCUUGGUGGUACUGCACCCUAGCCUAAAAGUGUGCUUAGGAUGCGGACCGUAAGCACACUUUCACUACUGCGCCUGCGCAACCCUGAUACACGUCACUGAGUGCUGUGGACGCUGAAUUAAUCACUGCUACUACAAGAACAAAGAAACUACAUUUCCCGUAAUUCCCUCUGUCACGCCACGAAAGAGCUGAAGGAUAGCUGCACUCAAGAAGCACUGAUGUAAGAUACUCUCAGUUGCAGGAGGAGAAGAUGAAAUGAGACGGAGGAGGGUGAAACCACUUGAUGAAGCAGUACAACAUGUCACCAGUGCAACUGACAAGACUGAUGUAUUGGAGAGUAAAUUAAUAAACCCUUAUAAAGGUCAUGGUGUAUUUGCCCUGGCUUCUUUGAAUAAAGGAGAUUUUGUGGUUGAAUGCAGAGGGGAACUGAUGGACUUUCUUGAAUCAGGGAGAAGGAGGAAGGUCUCCCGAAUUACUGUAUUACUUUUGGCAGAAUAAACAGUGCAUUGUUGCAACAAGAGAGGAUGACACCCUUGGCCGACUAGUGAACGAUGAGCACAAGGACCUCAACUGUAAAAUGAAAAAGAUCAUUGUCCAGGGAAAACCGCAUCUCUGCGUUUUUGUGAUGAGAGAUAUAAUGCCUGGAGAGAAAAUAACCUACGACUGUGGAGGAAGUGACUGGCAUCGGAGUAGAAAGGUUUGUAAGAUGUGUUUGGAAAAUAUUUGAAAUAGAUUUUACUAGCUUAGCAGUGUGAUUGAGUGCUUAUCAGCAUUUGAUCAAAAAGUAACCCUUUGAAAGCCCAUGCAAUGUGUAUUGCUGUCCUUGACAUUGAGUAGAAGUUACAUUUUCUUGAGAUUAAUUUCGAUAAUGGCUUAGCCUGAAUUACAUUUCUUAGUAAGGAUUUUCUUAGUAAG
This is a long non-coding RNA of Colossoma macropomum (tambaqui), 1193 nucleotides long. RefSeq lists it as uncharacterized. The transcript has 5 exons. Lineage: Eukaryota; Metazoa; Chordata; Actinopteri; Characiformes; Serrasalmidae. The record is from RefSeq and is a predicted model, not a curated record.